UACGUAGGGGGCAAGCGUUGUCCGGAUUUAUUGGGCGUAAAGAGCGUGUAGGCGGCUUGACAGGUCUGCUGUGAAAACUCGAGGCUCAACCUCGAGAUGUCGGCGGAAACCGUCUGGCUAGAGUCCGGAAGAGGAGAGUGGAAUUCCUGGUGUAGCGGUGAAAUGCGCAGAUAUCAGGAAGAACACCAAUGGCGAAGGCAGCUCGCUGGGACGUGACUGACGCUGAGACGCGAAAGCGUGGGGAGCAAACAGG
RNAcentral lists this ribosomal RNA (253 nucleotides) under uncultured bacterium. Its description in RNAcentral is "partial 16S ribosomal RNA". It matches the Rfam family "Bacterial small subunit ribosomal RNA", at positions 524 to 776 of the family's 1533-position model. The record is from RNAcentral.